UUGUUACCAGUUUGUUGUGUACUUGUGUUAUUGUUGCUAGUUUAUUGGACUUUUGUUGUGUUGUUUUUAUUUUUUUGUUUUGUUGUUUGGACUGAUGUAGUUUUUUGCUAUAUUUUGGGCUUUUGCUUAUAUUUACUAUUAUAAUCUUAUUGUGUUGUUGCUAUUGUUUACUUGGGUUCAUAUAGUUUACUUGGACUUAUGUUGUGUUGCUUUUAUUUGUUCACUUUUUUGCUUCAAUUUUUCUUUGUAUGAUCAUAUUUAAAAACUUUAAAGAAAUUUAUUUUUAAAAAAAUUAUAUAAAAAUAAACAACACCAAGGUCAUUCUUUUUAAUUUAACUCGAGCAAAUAUAUUCGAUUCGGU
This 361-nucleotide long non-coding RNA is filed under the name Gossypium raimondii (Peruvian cotton). RNAcentral's name for it is "long non-coding RNA (GRAI_LNC007399)". Lineage: Eukaryota; Viridiplantae; Streptophyta; Magnoliopsida; Malvales; Malvaceae. The record is from RNAcentral.